UAGGGAAUCUUCCACAAUGGGCGAAAGCCUGAUGGAGCAACGCCGCGUGUGAUGAAGGGUUCCGGCUCGUAAAACACUGUUGUAAGAGAAGAAUGACAUUGAGAGUAACUGUUCAAUGUGUGACGGUAUCUUACCAGAAAGGAACGGCUAAAUACGUGCCAG
RNAcentral lists this ribosomal RNA (162 nucleotides) under uncultured bacterium. RNAcentral's name for it is "partial 16S rRNA". It matches the Rfam family "Bacterial small subunit ribosomal RNA", at positions 355 to 511 of the family's 1533-position model. The record is from RNAcentral.